This 1817-nucleotide ribosomal RNA is filed under the name Craspedacusta sowerbii. RNAcentral describes it as "LSU rRNA". It matches the Rfam family "Bacterial large subunit ribosomal RNA". Lineage: Eukaryota; Metazoa; Cnidaria; Hydrozoa; Limnomedusae; Olindiidae. The record is from RNAcentral.
CGCCUGCGCAUCGAUUUUCAUCCAGAUGAAAGUAGAAUGAAUCUUCAAACAAAAUAAAGCUCUGACUCCGGACCGACAGGAGCAGUCAAAAAUAUUGAAUUGCUCACCCAAGUCAAAAGACGUUUAUGAUAAAGAACUGAAACAUCUUAGUAACUCCCUAAAAAAUCUAAAUUCGAAAGUAAUGGCGAAUGAAAUCGAAGGGUCUCAACAAAAAAGAAUGAAUUUUACAUAAGACCAAAAGCAGAGCAUUUAUAGCGAUAGUACCGUGAGGGAAAUUUAACAAUGAAGAUCGAAGCCAUGACAAUCAUUUACCUUUUGUAUAAUGGACUUACAAGAAAAAGAAUUGGCAAGUUUAAAGACUAAGAGAAACCGAAAUAGUCAAUUUUACCCGAAACCAAGUGAUCUAAUUAUGAGCUGUUUUAUGAACGAACCUGUGACUGUGGAAACAUUCUUGGAAGACUUGUAAUUAGCAGUGAAAAGCUAAUCGAACUUGGAUAUAGCUGGUUAUUUACGAAAAUUAUAUAAGUAAUGGGCUCCCAUCGAAGUCUGAGACAACUAGUGAUAAGAUUAGUCGUCAAGAAAGAAAAAACUUCUACUAGAAACGAAAGUAUACCAUUCUUAAUCAACAAAACAAAAAAUAAUAAAGACGAUAAGAAAAUAAGCUUGGAAACAGCUACUUUUAAAAGAAAACGUAAUAGUUCACUUAUCGAAUUUUCUUUUUGAUGAAUCAAAUUCUCUUAAGAAACUGAAGUUCUAGUAAAAACAAGUAGUAAAUCAUAGUGUCUCUACCAAGAAAUUCAACACUAGCGAUAAUGUAAGUAUGAUUAAUCUCAAUUUAUCUCUACGAUUUCUUAUUUUAAUAAUGAGUAAGGUAAUCCAGGUUCUCAGGCUCCCAAGGAAAAGCAUUACUUCUUCGCAAGAAAAACUAAUGCGCACGACUGUAUUUAUCUGACCCAAGUAGAGAGAAGAAAGACGGCAAUUAUUUUCAAGGAACUCGGCAAACUGGAGAUCGACUGUUUACCAAAAACAUAGCCCUUGGUUUAACUCAAAGGUGCAGCCUGCCCUAUGGUCUUCGACGCGUUUUGUGACUAAAACCUAAACAGAGACUAAAUGGCCGCGGUAACUCUGACCGUGAUAAUGUAGCGAAAUCAAUCGUCGUUUAAUUGACGACCCGUAUGAAAGGUUAAACGAAUCUCCCCCUGUCUCGAAAAUAAACCCCAUCGAAAUUGUAUGAGCAGUGAAGAUACUGCUAUCAGAUUGCUAGACGAAAAGACCCUAUAGAGCUUAACUAUAUUCUCGACCCACAACUUACCCUAUGAAGAUAGGAGUGCAUCGAGAGUGGUAGUUUGGUUGGGGCGACCUUCUUCUAUAACAAACGAAGAUAGACAAAGGCACAUCGAUUUUAAAUCGCUUAAUUGUUUAAUCCAUAAAUUUGACUAAUACUAACGUAGGUAAAAAUGACCCGUUCUCCUCAAAAAAUAGAGAGAACGAUCAAUAAAUAAAAGCUACCUUAGGGAUAACAGCGUAAUCUUGUUCAAGAGUCCUUAUCGACGACAAGGUUUGCGACCUCGAUGUUGAAUUACGAUAACCUGAAGGUGUAGCCGCUUUCAAGGGUCGGUCUGUUCGACCGUUAAAAUCGUACAUGAUUUGAGUUCAUUCCCCCGCAAGGCAGGAAGGUUUCUAUCUACAAUCAAGAACCCCUAGACGAAACUUCUAGUACGAAAGGACCGAAGUGUUCAUAUCCUCUACCAUGAUUUCAAGUUAAAAUUUGAACGCCACUAACAUUGAAACUCUCUAGGUUCCUCUACUUCAUCCAA